UACGAAGGGGGCUAGCGUUGUUCGGAAUUACUGGGCGUAAAGCGCGUGUAGGCGGCUCGGCAAGUCGGGUGUGAAAGCCCUGGGCUCAACCCAGGAAGUGCAUUCGAAACUGCCGAGCUGGAGUCCCGGAGAGGAAGGCGGAAUUCUCGGUGUAGAGGUGAAAUUCGUAGAUAUCGAGAGGAACACCGGUGGCGAAGGCGGCCUUCUGGACGGCGACUGACGCUGAGACGCGAAAGCGUGGGGAGCAAACAGG
RNAcentral lists this ribosomal RNA (253 nucleotides) under uncultured bacterium. RNAcentral describes it as "partial 16S ribosomal RNA". It matches the Rfam family "Bacterial small subunit ribosomal RNA", at positions 524 to 776 of the family's 1533-position model. The record is from RNAcentral.